GCCCAAGUGGCAACACUGGCAACAGGCAACACUGCAUCACACUUGAAAUCGGAGAACCGCUAUCUAGACCGAGAUUGUAAGACCAGUCGUCACCGGGGUCGGACGUAAGGCCGCCUCCUAGUAGUAGCGUAGCAGUCUUUCAAUAUUAUUUUUGCAGUUAAUUAUUCUGAUAGUUAUUUAUUCUUUUUGUUGCAGAUUCUGUUUAUCGAUAGGAAAAUUCCCCGAUAAAUUCGGUAUAGACCUCAUCUGAGGUCUAAGAAGUAGGAGGAGCAAUUAAAACUCGAAUAAAA
Molecule: long non-coding RNA, 290 nt
Organism: Hyalella azteca
Lineage: Eukaryota; Metazoa; Arthropoda; Malacostraca; Amphipoda; Hyalellidae
Exons: 2
Source: RefSeq, a predicted model, not a curated record